GCCGGGCUGGCGGAACCGGUAGACGCAAACGACUCAAAAUCGUUCGCCGCAAGGCGUGGGGGUUCGAGUCCCCCGCCCGGUA
This 82-nucleotide transfer RNA is filed under the name Gemmatimonadota bacterium. RNAcentral describes it as "tRNA-Leu". It matches the Rfam family "tRNA". Rfam says of the family: Transfer RNA (tRNA) molecules are approximately 80 nucleotides in length. The record is from RNAcentral. Lineage: Bacteria; Pseudomonadati; Gemmatimonadota.